UACGGAGGGUGCAAGCGUUAUUCGGAAUUACUGGGCGUAAAGCGUGCGCAGGCGGUUUGGUAAGUCCGUUGUGAAAGCCCCGAGCUCAACUUGGGAAUUGCAGUGGAUACUGGCAGGCUGGAGUACGGUAGAGGAAGGUGGAAUUCACGGUGUAGCAGUGAAAUGCGUAGAUAUCGGGAGGAACACCAGUGGCGAAGGCGGCCUGCUGGGCAGUAGCUGACGCUGAGGCGCGACAGCGUGGGGAGCAAACAGG
Molecule: ribosomal RNA, 253 nt
Filed under: uncultured bacterium
Lineage: Bacteria
Description: partial 16S ribosomal RNA
Rfam family: Bacterial small subunit ribosomal RNA
Source: RNAcentral